This is a long non-coding RNA of Cynara cardunculus var. scolymus (artichoke), 634 nucleotides long. RefSeq lists it as uncharacterized. The record is from RefSeq and is a predicted model, not a curated record. The transcript is spliced from 3 exons. NCBI's taxonomy places the organism in Eukaryota, Viridiplantae, Streptophyta, Magnoliopsida, Asterales, Asteraceae.
GUAUACGAUCUCUGCGACCAAAACCAUUUUUGGCUUUCUUCUUCUUCUGUAAUUUUUCUCCUAUGCGACCAAAACCAUUUUGGGUUAGAUACAGAUACAUUUCUUCUUGACAGACCUCGUUUCUUAACAAUGUUGGUUUUGAUGUAUCACAACCUCAGCGAUUUUGACGAUUACCUUUUCCCAAGCAGCGGACGAUUCUUUUUUCCUAAGCAACGAUUCAGGCAUUCGUACUCUCGAGAUGCAGGUUUUACUUGUAGUUAUCACUCCUGUUCUCAUACGCUCCUCUUGACGAAGACAUAAAUCAGGUAUACCAUCGAUUUAGGUUUGAUGUUGUUCCUCUCGCUUCUCUGUUUGAUUUCAUAUCGAUUCAUACUCUCCAACACAAAUCAGGGUCACAGAUGAUUGUUUUUUUAAACAUAAGUUCUUUCCAUGUUACACAUAUUACAAGCCGGAUAACUACGAAGAUCUCUGAUUGGAGUUCACUCCCCUGCUUUUCAGCUAUCUGGAACGAUACUUGCCCCCAAACCUCUUGAAUGUUCCUCGAGAUACAAAGUAUAAAUACAUGCUGGACAUUCUAUAUCGUUAUUCGACUGAAGGAGAGCGCACUCGAGACCAGAAGCACAGAGAAUACAGG